AACAACGGAUCUCUUGGUUCCAGCAUCGAUGAAGAACGCAGCGAAAUGCGAUAAGUAAUGUGAAUUGCAGAAUUCAGUGAAUCAUCGAAUCUUUGAACGCACAUUGCGCCCCUCGGUAUUCCGGGGGGCAUGCUGUUCGAGCGUCAUUA
Molecule: ribosomal RNA, 149 nt
Filed under: Parmeliopsis ambigua
Lineage: Eukaryota; Fungi; Ascomycota; Lecanoromycetes; Lecanorales; Parmeliaceae
Description: 5.8S ribosomal RNA
Rfam family: 5.8S ribosomal RNA
About the family: 5.8S ribosomal RNA (5.8S rRNA) is a component of the large subunit of the eukaryotic ribosome. It is transcribed by RNA polymerase I as part of the 45S precursor that also contains 18S and 28S rRNA.
Source: RNAcentral